Molecule: ribosomal RNA, 273 nt
Filed under: uncultured bacterium
Lineage: Bacteria
Description: partial 16S ribosomal RNA
Rfam family: Bacterial small subunit ribosomal RNA
Source: RNAcentral
UACGAAGGGGGCUAGCGUUGUUCGGAAUUACUGGGCGUAAAGGGCGCGUAGGCGGUGUGUCAAGUCAGGCGUGAAAGCCCCGGGCUCAACCUGGGAACCGCGCUUGAGACUGGCACGCUCGAGUUCGGGAGAGGAUGGUGGAAUUCCCAGUGUAGAGGUGAAAUUCGUAGAUAUUGGGAAGAACACCGAUGGCGAAGGCAGCCAUCUGGACCGACACUGACGCUGAGGCGCGAAAGCGUGGGGAGCAAACAGGAUUAGAAACCCCCGUAGUCC